Molecule: long non-coding RNA, 281 nt
Filed under: Gossypium raimondii (Peruvian cotton)
Lineage: Eukaryota; Viridiplantae; Streptophyta; Magnoliopsida; Malvales; Malvaceae
Description: long non-coding RNA (GRAI_LNC007387)
Source: RNAcentral
GUGGGAGUUUAUGUUGGGUAAUAGGGUAGGCUUAAAAGAAAACAAAGGUUAAUAUGAAGUGUGGUUGAAUUCGUAUGGUAAAGAAACUGGUACUUGGGAACAUAAACACUUUCAGGCUAGCUUUUUUUUUAAAUAGAAUUUUGAAUUUUUUUUUCUUUGUAUUUUCAUACUUGGAUUGUAAAUAUGCUGAAUUCUCUUCUUCUUUUUUUGUUCAAACUUUUUUUUCACUUUUUUCAAAUACUAAUCCUGGGAAAGAUAAAAACGUGGAUACUUAAUUUAAC